This 77-nucleotide transfer RNA is filed under the name Deltaproteobacteria bacterium. RNAcentral's name for it is "tRNA-Arg". It matches the Rfam family "tRNA". From Rfam's summary of the family: Transfer RNA (tRNA) molecules are approximately 80 nucleotides in length. Their secondary structure includes four short double-helical elements and three loops (D, anti-codon, and T loops). Further hydrogen bonds mediate the characteristic L-shaped molecular structure. tRNAs have two regions of fundamental functional importance: the anti-codon, which is responsible for specific mRNA codon recognition, and the 3' end, to which the tRNAs corresponding amino acid is attached (by aminoacyl-tRNA synthetases). tRNAs cope with the degeneracy of the genetic code in two manners: having more than one tRNA (with a specific anti-codon) for a particular amino acid; and 'wobble' base-pairing, i.e. permitting non-standard base-pairing at the 3rd anti-codon position. Lineage: Bacteria; Pseudomonadati; Myxococcota; Myxococcia. The record is from RNAcentral. RNAcentral also lists the same sequence under 4 other names.
GGCCCCGUAGCUCAGCUGGAUAGAGCAACCGCCUCCUAAGCGGUAGGUCUUGGGUUCGAAUCCCGACGGGGCCGCCA